RNAcentral lists this ribosomal RNA (552 nucleotides) under uncultured bacterium. RNAcentral's name for it is "partial 16S ribosomal RNA". It matches the Rfam family "Bacterial small subunit ribosomal RNA", at positions 356 to 932 of the family's 1533-position model. The record is from RNAcentral.
UGGGAAUCUUGCGCAAUGGGCGAAAGCCUGACGCAGCCAUGCCGCGUGAGUGAUGAAGGCCUUAGGGUUGUAAAACUCUUUCACCGGGGACGAUAAUGACGGUACCCGGAGAAGAAGCCCCGGCUAACUUCGUGCCAGCAGCCGCGGUAAUACGAAGGGGGCUAGCGUUGCUCGGAAUUACUGGGCGUAAAGGGCGCGUAGGCGGAUCAGCAAGUUGGGGGUGAAAGCCCGGGGCUCAACCUCGGAAUUGCCUUCAAAACUGCUGAUCUAGAGUACGGGAGAGGUGUGUGGAACUCCGAGUGUAGAGGUGAAAUUCGUAGAUAUUCGGAAGAACACCAGUGGCGAAGGCGACACACUGCCCGUUACUGACGCUGAGGCGCGAAAGCGUGGGGAGCAAACAGGAUUAGAUACCCUGGUAGUCCACGCUGUAAACGAUGAUUGCUAGUUGUCGGCAGGCAUGCCUGUCGGUGACGCAGCUAACGCAUUAAGCAAUCCGCCUGGGGAGUACGGUCGCAAGAUUAAAACUUAAAUGAAUUGACGGGGUCAUAGCUG